This 488-nucleotide ribosomal RNA is filed under the name uncultured bacterium. RNAcentral describes it as "bacterial SSU rRNA". It matches the Rfam family "Bacterial small subunit ribosomal RNA", at positions 25 to 518 of the family's 1533-position model. The record is from RNAcentral.
CAGGAUGAACGCUGGCGGCGUGCUUAACACAUGCAAGUCGAACGGAAAGGCCUGUACUGUACAGGUACUCGAGUGGCGAACGGGUGAGUAACACGUGGGUGAUCUGCCCUGCACUAUGGGAUAAGCUUGGGAAACUGGGGUCUAAUACCAUAUAGGACCACUUCUUGGAUGUUGUGGUGGAAAGCUUUUGCGGUGUGGGAUGAGCCUGCGGCCUAUCAGCUUGUUGGUGGGGUAAUGGCCUACCAAGGCGGCGACGGGUAUCCGGCCUGAGAGGGUGUACGGACACAUUGGGACUGAGAUACGGCCCAGACUCCUACGGGAGGCAGCAGUGGGGAAUAUUGCACAAUGGGCGCAAGCCUGAUGCCAGCGACGCCGCGUGGGGGAUGACGGCCUUCGGGUUGUAAACUCCUUUCGCUAUCGACGAAGCCACCUUUGGUGGUGACGGUAGGUAGAUAAGAAGCACCGGCUAACUACGUGCCAGCAGCCGC